UACGACGGGGGCUAGCGUUGCUCGGAAUCACUGGGCGUAAAGGGUGCGUAGGCGGCUUGUUAAGUCAGGGGUGAAAUCCUGGAGCUCAACUCCAGAACUGCCUUUGAUACUGGCAAGCUUGGAGUCCGGGAGAGGUGAGUGGAACUGCGAGUGUAGAGGUGAAAUUCGUAGAUAUUCGCAAGAACACCAGUGGCGAAGGCGGCUCACUGGCCCGGUACUGACGCUGAGGUGCGAAAGCGUGGGGAGCGAACAGG
This 254-nucleotide ribosomal RNA is filed under the name uncultured bacterium. RNAcentral's name for it is "partial 16S ribosomal RNA". It matches the Rfam family "Bacterial small subunit ribosomal RNA", at positions 524 to 776 of the family's 1533-position model. The record is from RNAcentral.